Molecule: long non-coding RNA, 873 nt
Organism: Oncorhynchus keta (chum salmon)
Lineage: Eukaryota; Metazoa; Chordata; Actinopteri; Salmoniformes; Salmonidae
Exons: 2
Source: RefSeq, a predicted model, not a curated record
UAUACAUUAUGGGUGUGUUGGAUAGUAGCGCUGGGAAUAGCCAGUGACCUCACGAUACGAUAUUAUCACAGUACUUAGGUGCUGAUAUGAUAUGUAUUACAAUUUUCACGAUUCUACAUGUAUUACGAUUCUAUACUGUGAUUUUAUUGUGAUUCGAUGUUCCAAACAUUGCUCACUAUAUGUCUGUGGCAGAGAGACUAGAAAUCAUGAGAAAAUAAUGGAAAUAACAUUUCCUCCAAAUAUGUGCUUCCUAUUUCAAAUGAAAAUGGAGAACAGUCUAUGAAGGAAAAUAAGAGGUUUAGUGCAGAGACAACCAACUAACACAAACAUAAUAGUUUGAUAUUGUUGAUGCGAUACAACAUGAUAUAUCGUGGAAAAUAAUAUCCCGAUGUGUAACUAUCCAUUUUUUUCCCUUCAUUACUAUUGGAUAGGCGUUUUAACGGUCUUGCUGUUAUAAAUGCAGUUCCUUAUUGACACCAUUGAGGUGGGGUUUGUUAAGCUUAUUGUAGCUUCUGGUCACUACUGUAUGUAUAUACUUAUCAAAAGGAAUACAAUGAAAUAUAAUGAUUAAAGAUAUGCUUUUUAUUCAAAUGUCCAGAAGCAGAUGUAGCAGAAAAGGAACAACAAAUAACAAAUGUAGUGUGUAUAAAAUAGUGAAGGUGAAACAUCCUGAAACACUAUUAUCUCCCCAUAAUAUUAGAUUGUUCCAUUAAUCAAAUAUAUAAUUCAUCCUUUAAAUCCCAUAUGAUUCUUUCCUUUAUUGUGAUAAAAUGUGAAAACAACGCAUGUGGUCUGUGACCCAAGCUGACAGGACUGUUUUAAUAUUCCUAUCUAAUGGAUGCUUCAUGAGAAUUUGAACUGAAUGAAUUUGAA